UAUCCGGCAACCUAAUGUCUUUCACCGCAGUGAAGGCAUAGGUUAUAGGUUAUCAAAUCGGUUACAUUCGAGGUUGAGAUAUGGAAGUUUUCGUUGUAACGUUCUUGAUCCGAGUAUUAUUUUAAAAGAUAGGUCCUCAAAGAAAAUAAGGAAAAGUUUUGCACAUAGCGGUGGUUUGAAUUCGAGUUUGGUAUUCGGCGGAGUAUUUCAUAGUCAUUUAUCAAGUGCAUAUCCGAGUAACUCAUUGUUCUGUAGUUUUGCUGAUGUUUUUAAGGUGUCAAGGGGAUUUAGGUCACGGUGUCAAGGUAAUGAUUCCUUAGCAUACAUUGAUGGGAAUGAUCGAAGUGUAGAAUUA
Molecule: unclassified non-coding RNA, 355 nt
Filed under: Hevea brasiliensis (rubber tree)
Lineage: Eukaryota; Viridiplantae; Streptophyta; Magnoliopsida; Malpighiales; Euphorbiaceae
Source: RNAcentral